This 467-nucleotide ribosomal RNA is filed under the name uncultured bacterium. RNAcentral's name for it is "partial 16S ribosomal RNA". It matches the Rfam family "Bacterial small subunit ribosomal RNA", at positions 28 to 507 of the family's 1533-position model. The record is from RNAcentral.
GACGAACGCUGGCGGCGUGCUUAACACAUGCAAGUCGAACGGAAAGGCCCUGCUUUUGUGGGGUGCUCGAGUGGCGAACGGGUGAGUAACACGUGAGUAACCUGCCCUUGACUUUGGGAUACUUCAGGAAACUGGGGCUAAUACCGGAUAGGAGCUCCUGCUGCAUGGUGGGGGUUGGAAAGUUUCGGCGGUUGGGGAUGGACUCGCGGCUUAUCAGCUUGUUGGUGGGGUAGUGGCUUACCAAGGCUUUGACGGGUAGCCGGCCUGAGAGGGUGACCGGCCACAUUGGGACUGCGAUACGGCGCAGACUCCUACGGGAGGCAGCAGUCGGGAAUAUUGCACAAUGGGCGGAAGCCUGAUGCAGAAACGCCGCGUGCGGGAUGACGGCCUUCGGGUUGUAAACCGCUUUAGCCUGUGACGAAGCGUGAGUGACGGUAAUGGGUAAAGAAGCACCGGCUAACUACGUG